UACGUAGGGUGCAAGCGUUGUCCGGAAUUAUUGGGCGUAAAGAGCUCGUAGGCGGUUUGUCGCGUCUGCUGUGAAAAUCCAGGGCUUAACCCUGGACCUGCAGUGGGUACGGGGCAGACUAGAGUGCGGUAGGGGAGAUCGGAAUUCCUGGUGUAGCGGUGAAAUGCGCAGAUAUCAGGAGGAACACCAAUGGCGAAGGCAGCACUCUGGGACGGUACUGACGCUGAGACGCGAAAGCGUGGGGAGCAAACAGG
RNAcentral lists this ribosomal RNA (254 nucleotides) under uncultured bacterium. RNAcentral's name for it is "partial 16S ribosomal RNA". It matches the Rfam family "Bacterial small subunit ribosomal RNA", at positions 524 to 776 of the family's 1533-position model. The record is from RNAcentral.